UCCGUAGACUGUAUUGUAAGUUAUUUGUUAAAUCCUAAAGCCUAACUUUAGAAAAGCAUUUAAUACUACUAUACUUGAGUUUUUUGUAGAAGAGUAGAAUUUCAUGUCGAGGAGUAACGACUGCAGACACAUGAAGGAAUAUCAGCAGCGAAGGCGGCUCUUUGGUAAAAACUGACGUUGAGGGACGAAAGUGUAGGUAGCAAACA
RNAcentral lists this ribosomal RNA (206 nucleotides) under uncultured bacterium. RNAcentral describes it as "partial 16S ribosomal RNA". It matches the Rfam family "Bacterial small subunit ribosomal RNA", at positions 568 to 774 of the family's 1533-position model. The record is from RNAcentral.